UUUUAUUUUGCAGAUAAACAAAGAUUACUUUAAUUACCAUGAUCUAACAUGCCAUCUCCAGAACAGAAGGUACAGUACUGAAAGGUAUAAAACAUUUACAAUACAGGGAAGGUUUAUUUUAGGCAUUAAAUGAAAUGACAUUAACAUAGAGUAUGAAAAAUAAUGCCCUAUUCUUAAUAGAAUCUUUCUUGAAGGAACAUUUGUAAAACUGGAUUUCAUAUUUUACUGCCUAAGUCAAAAUAUUAAAUGUUGUACUAAAUUAGAUUUUUGAAAAUACGAAGCUUUUGCCACAAAAAAGAAAUAACUUUUAUUAUUCAGGGUGCCUUGGGUGUGUUUUAAUUUCUUGGAUUUCAUAAUACAGAGUUAAUCCUUGCUGGACCUUAAGCAAGUAGGAGGUUAGCAGUGUCACAGAGCUCUAAAAGUCAAAUCUUUUCACUAAGAAAGACCACUAUCCAUCUUCUGAUUCAUUAGGGCAAAAUAGCCAUCACGAUCAAUAUGACAAGCAAACAGGAGGACUGAGUGGCAAAGAAAUAUGUGGAAAAGUGAGGGUUGUGAGCUUUUUAGGAAAGAUUAGAGAGAUGGUACCAAAAGACGAGAAGGGUAUGAAAGAAAGGCCCUAUUCAGGCAAGAAGAAAUCACAGCAGUAGAAAAAUUAUGAUUUUUGAUACCUCAGUGAGGCAGCACAGAACAGCUGUGGUGCCUAACAGAAUAAACAGUUCUUGCACCUGCAGAAAGAAAAGAAAUAAUAGCUACAUAGCAUCUUCCAAAUCAAAAGAAGUAGAUGUGGAUGUCCUUGAGAAUAUAAAUUGAGAUCCCUGUCAAGGUCACAGCCCAAGAACCGUGGGAACAAAACAGAUCCAAUGACACCAAACACCUUGUCUGGGUUGCUGAUGUAUACCUAACACAAAAUGUAUUUUUUCCCAUAUGCUUCAGCAGGAAUAUUUAUUCAAAAAGUUUUGUGUAAGCUGUGGCAGAGCUGCAGGAGCUGGAGAGAGCAUCCCCCGAUGCUGUGGUGCUGAGUACCGCAGCAGCCGGCACCCUGGCCUCCCGCUGCAAGGGGAAACAUGCAGGCACUGGUGCUGUGCCCCAGGGGGGUCUUGGGCCACAUGGUGAGCACUAAAAACAUGGGAUGUGUGGAUCCAGCCACUAUCACUGCAGAAGAAUACUUCUAUUCAAACUGCCGGCGUCUUUCUUCCUAAGUUUAUGUAGUACAUUAAGUGGUUACUUAAAGCAAAGGGGGAAUUAUGCCACAUGAAUGGCUAUCUGACAUAUUUCCAGGUACUAUAAACAGUCCCGAAUGGUCAUCAGGCA
This 1311-nucleotide long non-coding RNA is filed under the name Strigops habroptila (Kakapo). Its description in RNAcentral is "lncRNA (ENSSHBG00005009783.1)". Lineage: Eukaryota; Metazoa; Chordata; Aves; Psittaciformes; Psittacidae. The record is from RNAcentral.